This 255-nucleotide ribosomal RNA is filed under the name uncultured bacterium. RNAcentral's name for it is "partial 16S ribosomal RNA". It matches the Rfam family "Bacterial small subunit ribosomal RNA", at positions 77 to 334 of the family's 1533-position model. The record is from RNAcentral.
CAAACUGGAGAUGGCGACCGGCGCACGGGUGAGUAACACGUAUCCAACCUGCCGAUAACUCGGGGAUAGCCUUUCGAAAGAAAGAUUAAUACCCGAUGGUAUAAUUAGACCGCAUGGUCUUGUUAUUAAAGAAUUUCGGUUAUCGAUGGGGAUGCGUUCCAUUAGGCAGUUGGUGAGGUAACGGCUCACCAAACCUUCGAUGGAUAGGGGUUCUGAGGGGAAGGUCCCCCACAUUGGAACUGAGACACGGUCCAA